UGGGGAAUAUUGCACAAUGGGGGCAACCCUGAUGCAGCGACGCCGCGUGAACGAAGAAGGUAUUCGUAUCGUAAAGUUCUGUCCUAUGGGAAGAUAAUGACAGUACCAUAGAAGAAAGCUCCGGCUAAAUACGUGCCAGCAGCCGCGGUAAUACGUAUGGAGCGAGCGUUGUCCGGAAUUAUUGGGCGUAAAGGGUACGCAGGCGGUUUAAUAAGUCGAAUGUUAAAGAUCGGGGCUCAACCCCGUAAAGCAUUGGAAACUGAUAAACUUGAGUAGUGGAGAGGAAAGGGGAAUUGAUAGUGUAGUGGAGAAAUACGUAGAUAUUAGGAGGGAUACCAGUAGCGAAGGCGACUUUCUGGACACAAACUGACGCUGAGGUACGAAAGCGUGGGGAGCAAACAGG
This 403-nucleotide ribosomal RNA is filed under the name bacterium. RNAcentral's name for it is "partial 16S ribosomal RNA". It matches the Rfam family "Bacterial small subunit ribosomal RNA", at positions 355 to 776 of the family's 1533-position model. The record is from RNAcentral.